This 154-nucleotide unclassified non-coding RNA is filed under the name uncultured Nigrospora. Its description in RNAcentral is "sequence contains ITS2". Lineage: Eukaryota; Fungi; Ascomycota; Sordariomycetes; Trichosphaeriales. The record is from RNAcentral.
CAACCCCUAAGCACAGCUUAUUGUUGGGACUCUACGGCUUCCGUAGUUCCUCAAAGACAUUGGCGGAGUGGCAGCAGUCCUCUGAGCGUAGUAAUUUUUUAUCUCGCUUCUGUUAGGUGCUGUCCCCCCGGCCGUAAAACCCCCAAUUUUUUCU